AUCUUUUUAAUAUAUUAGUAUAUUUAACUUCCAAUUAAAAAGUCUUGUUAAAGAAAAGAUA
Molecule: transfer RNA, 61 nt
Filed under: Myrmedobia distinguenda
Lineage: Eukaryota; Metazoa; Arthropoda; Insecta; Hemiptera; Microphysidae
Description: tRNA-Gly
Source: RNAcentral